UCUCCGUUGGUGAACCAGCGGAGGGAUCAUUACCGAGUUUACAACUCCCAAACCCAAUGUGAACCAUACCAAACUGUUGCCUCGGCGGGGUCACGCCCCGGGUGCGUCGCAGCCCGGGAACCAGGCGCCCGCCGGAGGGACCAACCAAACUCUUUCUGUAGUCCCCUCGCGGACGUUAUUUUUACAGCUCUGAGCAAAAAUUCAAAAUGAAUCAAAACUUUCAACAACGGAUCUCUUGGUUCUG
RNAcentral lists this unclassified non-coding RNA (244 nucleotides) under plant metagenome. RNAcentral describes it as "partial contains small subunit ribosomal RNA, internal transcribed spacer 1, and 5.8S ribosomal RNA". The record is from RNAcentral.